RNAcentral lists this long non-coding RNA (324 nucleotides) under Capsella grandiflora. RNAcentral describes it as "long non-coding RNA (CGRA_LNC000421)". The record is from RNAcentral. Lineage: Eukaryota; Viridiplantae; Streptophyta; Magnoliopsida; Brassicales; Brassicaceae.
UUAUUUGAAUAAUAAUUAUGUUGAGGUGAAUAUAAAUGUCGAGAAAAAGAAUGUAAAUUUGCCGUGUAAUAUCAUCAAGAAAAGAAGAAAGAACCAAAAGGGUUCACAUUUGAAGAUUCCUUGCAACCAACCGUCACUGUUAGGAAAAAAAAAAAAUCAAAUUGGCUAUCCCAGGAAAACGAACAAAGAUAUCAAAAAACGACGAAAGGACCGAGACCUAGAGUUGUCACUGUUAAACCAAAGCAAACGUACACGUUGGGAUAUGAAGCAUGUAUAAACGUCCUCCUUUAAUGUUACAUUGGCAUGGUCUGGUUUGUUUAGUUG